Schistocerca gregaria is the source of this 779-nucleotide long non-coding RNA. RefSeq lists it as uncharacterized. NCBI's taxonomy places the organism in Eukaryota, Metazoa, Arthropoda, Insecta, Orthoptera, Acrididae. The record is from RefSeq and is a predicted model, not a curated record. The transcript is spliced from 3 exons.
CCUUUUCCUAACGCACUAAACUACUCAUAUUAAAAAAGAAUUAUAAAAUCAUAUGAAUUCCCUCGAUUCAAAGCUAAAGCAAUUCUCCUCUUCCCUCUCCAAAGCCUCGAAAAAAAUUCAUGCCGUCUCUUUUGUCUCGCAACAUAGUCAAAAUGCGGUCCUAUCUGACGUCAGAACCGAUCUUGAGAAAGCUCAGCAAAUCAUAAACGACAUAAGGGCUAUCGCUGUCACCGACGAGAACCAUACCCAAGAAUAUCUAGCACUCGUCAAACAAAAAGAACAAGAACUUAAUGAAGUAAAAUCACAUAUCAACUCCUUUUACACACAGCAAUCUCAGCCUGAACAUCUAUCUGUAAACCUGCCUUUUAACCACUCAGCCUCUGAACGCGAUGAAAAAAAUAUCGGGGUAGAAAUAGAUGCUAGUCAUGCAAGACUUCUAGCUGUCCAAGAAAAUUUGGAAUAUAUCAACUCACUUGCCAAUGAAUCUCACGAUAUUGGCUCGAACACAUUAGAAAGCCUCCAGAUGCAAAGAGAACGCCUCCUAAAUGCGAAUCAGGGCCUCGACCGUAUCGAAAGCCAUACUACACAAUCAACCUCUGCUCUGCACCUCAUGAAAAGACGUGUUAUGACAAAAAAAAUAAUCCUAUUCUUCAUCAUCUUUUUACUUAUCUUCGCAAAUAUUAUGGUCAUCGUCGUCAGAUGGAUCAUCCCUCUUUUUAAAAAAAAAUAAACAUCCUUCCGCUCCCCUCUCUACAUAUGUCCUUCUGCCUUCAAAUAAA